UACAGAGGGUGCGAGCGUUGUUCGGAAUUAUUGGGCGUAAAGCGCGUGUAGGCGGGAUGGCAAGUCGGGUGUGAAAGCCCUCAGCUCAACUGAGGAAGUGCGCCCGAAACUACUGUUCUUGAGUGUCGGAGAGGGUGGCGGAAUUCCCGGUGUAGAGGUGAAAUUCGUAGAUAUCGGGAGGAACACCAGUGGCGAAGGCGGCCACCUGGCCGAACACUGACGCUGAGACGCGAAAGCGUGGGGAGCAAACAGG
RNAcentral lists this ribosomal RNA (253 nucleotides) under uncultured bacterium. Its description in RNAcentral is "partial 16S ribosomal RNA". It matches the Rfam family "Bacterial small subunit ribosomal RNA", at positions 524 to 776 of the family's 1533-position model. The record is from RNAcentral.